AGUGAACGUUGGCGGCGUGGAUUAGGCAUGCAAGUCGAGCGAGAACCGUAGCAAUACGGGGACAGCGGCGAAAGGGACAGUAAUGUGUAGGUACCUACCCCGAGGUCUGGGAUAGCUGCGGGAAACUGCAGGUAAUACCGGAUAAUGUCUUCGGACCAAAGGUGUGGUUCCACCUUGGGAGGGGCCUGCAUCCUAUUAGCUAGUUGGCGGGGUCAUGGCCCAACAAGGCAACGAUGGGUAGCGGGUGUCAGAGCACGACCCGGUUCAUUGGGACUGAGAUACUGCCCAGACACCUACGGGUGGCUGCAGUCGAGGAUCUUCGGCAAUGGGCGAAAGCCUGACCGAGCGACGCCGCGUGCGGGAUGAAGGCCUUCGGGUUGUAAACCGCUGUCGCAGAGGAGGAAAUGCAGGGGGGUUCUCCCUUCUGUUUGACCUAUUCUAGGAGGAAGGACGGGCUAAGUUCGUGCCAGCCGCCGCUGUAA
Molecule: ribosomal RNA, 482 nt
Filed under: uncultured bacterium
Lineage: Bacteria
Description: partial 16S ribosomal RNA
Rfam family: Bacterial small subunit ribosomal RNA
Source: RNAcentral